RNAcentral lists this transfer RNA (73 nucleotides) under Marmota monax (woodchuck). It matches the Rfam family "tRNA". Rfam says of the family: Transfer RNA (tRNA) molecules are approximately 80 nucleotides in length. Their secondary structure includes four short double-helical elements and three loops (D, anti-codon, and T loops). The record is from Rfam by way of RNAcentral. Lineage: Eukaryota; Metazoa; Chordata; Mammalia; Rodentia; Sciuridae.
GGGGAUAGAGCUCAGUUGGUAGAGUGCUUGCCUUACAUAUACAAAGCCCUGGGUUAGAUCCCCAGUAACCCCC